GGAACUGCUUGAGGUCAGACACCAGCUUCAUCAGGGACUCGCCGGCUCGGACCUGCGUGGAUGCGGACGGGGCAGCACAGUGAGGGACUGACGGCAGCCUGCCUCCGUGUGCCUGACGCUGGGAGCAGCACAUCUGCCAGUUGGGGGGGAUUCCUUUAGGACCUCGUCCUGUGCAUUUUCAUCCGGGGGCACAGACCUAUGGAAAUACUUGGUUGCCCUGCUUGUUCUGUGACAUCGAAAGGGAUCAAAAUGCACGUCCCGUUUCAUCUGACCAUUUGCUUCCCGCACUUAUAAAGAAUCUUCAGCGAGGAAGAGGUGAUCUCUUUCUAAGCACCGCCCAGCACUCGACAGGAUGGCCAUGGCCAGCUACCUGCCAGCCCCUUACGCGGCUGCCAUGGACAGCCCUCCUCUCGAGCGGAGUCUCCUGAGAAGUGGUUUGCCCCCCACCCAGGGAACCCCAGUGGGGACCACAAGGUUCCUGGAGCCCGGGCUGUCCCCUCCACCUGGUGACUCACGAUGUUGGCGGCUCGCACGUGCAUCUCGUAAUUGUCCUGCUCGCCCUGAGUGGCCCUCGACACCUGCGUCUCGUCCUCAAUCUGGAGGGCAAACGAGAAAGCCGAGAAUGGGCAGGCGCCCCGGCACUCAGGCACCCCGCGGUGGCAGCAUGCCCACACUCGCCACACCCUGUGGCCUAUCGUGCCCUCUGCGCACCGGGCGCUGCCAACCAGACCUCAGGCCGCGUGCACCGUCACCCCCUCUAGCUCUGUUCUAAGGAGAUGACAGGCACCUUCACCAGGACCAGUGGAUGCCUAAGUACACCAGCCGCCGUGCCAGGCGCGGGGAGGGGUUGGUCCUGUCUUUUUUGGGGUAUGCUGUCCUGUUCAGCACAGACUGCGUCCCUAGCUCAGGCACUCACUGACCUGCUAAAUGGAUCAAUAAAAUGACAAUGUAUUUUUUUAAAUGAC
Long non-coding RNA from Balaenoptera acutorostrata (minke whale), 965 nucleotides. RefSeq lists it as uncharacterized. The transcript is spliced from 2 exons. NCBI's taxonomy places the organism in Eukaryota, Metazoa, Chordata, Mammalia, Artiodactyla, Balaenopteridae. The record is from RefSeq and is a predicted model, not a curated record.